UGGGAUUGAGUUUGGGGGUUAUUGCCCUAUUCAUUCAGGAAUAAGGGGCCAAAAACAAGCAUUUUGUUAGUUUCCAGACAAUAAAUAUUGUUUAAGUGUUAGAUGGAUCCCUCUGAAAUUGUACUACAAGGUUCCAUACUACAACAGAAAGGUAGGAGUAAUUGCUCCAAGGAGGUAUUCAAAAAGUUUGGGUGGGGGCAAUUUUUUUAAGGGGUUUAAUUUUUUUUUUUCAAAAUUUUUGAAAAAGUUUCAUGACAAAAUCUUUAAUUGCACAGUAUUGUGCAAUAGAUUUGUAUGAUUUUUAGACUUUUAGUUUUUGGUCCCGUUUUCAAAUUGGUCUACAUUAAGGUCCAAAGGGUCUAAAAUUUAAUUUUGUUUGAUUUGAACCAAAAUUGAAUUCU
RNAcentral lists this long non-coding RNA (401 nucleotides) under Mytilus galloprovincialis (Mediterranean mussel). The record is from RNAcentral. Lineage: Eukaryota; Metazoa; Mollusca; Bivalvia; Mytilida; Mytilidae.